GACGAACGCUGGCGGCGUGCUUAACACAUGCAAGUCGAACGGAAAGGCCCUGCUUUUGUGGGGUGCUCGAGUGGCGUACGGGUGAGUAACACGUGAGUAACCUGCCCUUGACUUUGGGAUAACUUCAGGAAACUGGGGCUAAUACCGGAUAGGAGCUCCUGCUGCAUGGUGGGGGUUGGAAAGUUUCGGCGGUUGGGGAUGGACUCGCGGCUUAUCAGCUUGUUGGUGGGGUAGUGGCUUACCAAGGCUUUGACGGGUAGCCGGCCUGAGAGGGUGACCGGCCACAUUGGGACUGCGAUACGGCCCAGACUCCUACGGGAGGCAGCAGUGGGGAAUAUUGCACAAUGGGCGGAAGCCUGAUGCAGCAACGCCGCGUGCGGGAUGACGGCCUUCGGGUUGUAAACCGCUUUCGCCUGUGACGAAGCGUGAGUGACGGUAAUGGGUAAAGAAGCACCGGCUAACUACGUG
RNAcentral lists this ribosomal RNA (468 nucleotides) under uncultured bacterium. Its description in RNAcentral is "partial 16S ribosomal RNA". It matches the Rfam family "Bacterial small subunit ribosomal RNA", at positions 28 to 507 of the family's 1533-position model. The record is from RNAcentral.